Heterocephalus glaber (naked mole-rat) is the source of this 345-nucleotide long non-coding RNA. RefSeq lists it as uncharacterized. The record is from RefSeq and is a predicted model, not a curated record. Lineage: Eukaryota; Metazoa; Chordata; Mammalia; Rodentia; Bathyergidae.
AAAGACUAGCGCGCAGGCGCACUCUCGCGUUCUUUCUGAGGUCUACCUCGUGCGUCUAAGUCAUGGCGAUUCCCUACUGUACAGCACCCGAUUGAGUGUGCUGGCUGUGGCCUUUGAAUAAAGUCUUGUGAAAACUCAUCAUCAUAAGAUGUUGAGCUAAAGGAUCUUCAUGAUGAAAUUUCUGUGAAUGGUACAUUCUCAGUCCCAGUUUCUGAGGCUGAAAGAGGAUCCUCGGGUAGCUAUACCGUGGUGGCCAUCCUGCUUCCAUACUUGGGCCUGGACCCAAAGUGUAUCAUUCAUGUAUCUGUGGUAUGAGACAGAACACUGAACUAUUUUGCAGGCAAG